This 340-nucleotide long non-coding RNA is filed under the name Vigna radiata. RNAcentral's name for it is "long non-coding RNA (VRAD_LNC018479)". Lineage: Eukaryota; Viridiplantae; Streptophyta; Magnoliopsida; Fabales; Fabaceae. The record is from RNAcentral.
GCUUGUCUCGAAGGCGGGAAGACAAAAAUUCUUCAAUGUAGACGUCAGUUCUGAGGGGCACCGACGUCUACGUUCCUGUAUUUUCACCAAAUUCGAGGGUUUUAGACGUCGGCUGUGAGGGGCACCGACGUGAACUAUCCUGACAGGAAACCAAAACGUCAAUCUUUUCAGCUUCCUAGACGUCGGUUUCUGGAGCAACCGACGCCCCAUUUCAUUUUAAAUAGACUGCGGACUCUUCUCGCCAUUCAGUUUCUGAUCGCGUCUUCAUCUCUUCUCCUUUUUCUCUACUUCUCCUCUUCUUUUACUCGCUUGCGCACCUCUACUUUUUAUCUCUUGCGGC